This 253-nucleotide ribosomal RNA is filed under the name uncultured bacterium. RNAcentral's name for it is "partial 16S ribosomal RNA". It matches the Rfam family "Bacterial small subunit ribosomal RNA", at positions 524 to 776 of the family's 1533-position model. The record is from RNAcentral.
UACAGAGGUCUCAAGCGUUGUUCGGAUUCAUUGGGCGUAAAGGGUGCGUAGGCGGUAGCACAAGUCAGUUGUGAAAUCUCCGGGCUUAACUCGGAAAGGUCAACUGAUACUGUGCGACUAGAGUGCAGAAGGGGCAACUGGAAUUCUCGGUGUAGAGGUGAAAUUCGUAGAUAUCGAGAGGAACACCGGUGGCGAAGGCGGCUAUCUGGACAGUGACUGACGCUGAGACGCGAAAGCGUGGGGAGCAAACAGG